UACGGGGCGCAGCAGUUACGGAAACUUUACAAUGCACGAAAGUGUGAUAAGGGGAUCCUAAGUGAUAUAGCUUAUGGUUAUAUCUGUGUAGAAGUGUAAAAUACUUCUAAAGAAAGGGGUGGGCAAUAUCGGUGCCAGCAGCCGCGGUAA
Molecule: ribosomal RNA, 150 nt
Filed under: uncultured archaeon
Lineage: Archaea
Description: partial 16S ribosomal RNA
Rfam family: Archaeal small subunit ribosomal RNA
Source: RNAcentral